RNAcentral lists this ribosomal RNA (895 nucleotides) under Pseudeurotium zonatum. RNAcentral describes it as "eukaryotic LSU rRNA". It matches the Rfam family "Eukaryotic large subunit ribosomal RNA", at positions 33 to 949 of the family's 3401-position model. Lineage: Eukaryota; Fungi; Ascomycota; Leotiomycetes; Thelebolales; Pseudeurotiaceae. The record is from RNAcentral.
CUUAAGCAUAUCAAUAAGCGGAGGAAAAGAAACCAACAGGGAUUGCCUCAGUAACGGCGAGUGAAGCGGCAACAGCUCAAAUUUGAAAUCUGGCCUCACGGCCCGAGUUGUAAUUUGUAGAGGAUGCUUCGAGCAUGGUCUGGCCUAAGUUUCCUUGGAACAGGACGUCAUAGAGGGUGAGAAUCCCGUAUGCGGCCAGGUGCCUACGCUCAUGUGAAGCUCCUUCGACGAGUCGAGUUGUUUGGGAAUGCAGCUCAAAAUGGGUGGUAAAUUUCAUCUAAAGCUAAAUAUUGGCCAGAGACCGAUAGCGCACAAGUAGAGUGAUCGAAAGAUGAAAAGCACUUUGGAAAGAGAGUUAAACAGUACGUGAAAUUGUUGAAAGGGAAGCGCUUGCAACCAGACUUGCGUGCGGCCGAUCAUCCGGUGUUCUCACCGGUGCACUCGGUCGCGCUCAGGCCAGCAUCGGUUUUGGUGGUUGGAUAAAGGCCCUAGGAAUGUAGCUUCUCUCGGGGAGUGUUAUAGCCUAGGGUGCAAUGCAGCCCACCGGGACCGAGGACCGCGCUUCGGCUAGGAUGCUGGCGUAAUGGUUGUAAGCGACCCGUCUUGAAACACGGACCAAGGAGUCUAACAUCUAUGCGAGUGUUUGGGUGUCAAACCCAUACGCGUAAUGAAAGUGAACGGAGGUGAGAACCCUUAAGGGUGCAUCAUCGACCGAUCCUGAUGUCUUCGGAUGGAUUUGAGUAAGAGCAUAGCUGUUGGGACCCGAAAGAUGGUGAACUAUGCCUGAAUAGGGUGAAGCCAGAGGAAACUCUGGUGGAGGCUCGCAGCGGUUCUGACGUGCAAAUCGAUCGUCAAAUUUGGGCAUAGGGCGAAAGACUAAUCGAACCAUCUAGUA